UUUUAUUCUUCAUUCUUUUCCUUUCUAUUUCUUAUUUCUUCAUUUUCACUUAUUUUCUUCCCAUUUUUAUUUCAUUUAUUUUAUCACUUAUUUCUUUUUAAUCUCACAUGUUUAUAAAUAUAAUUAGAAUAUUUUCCAUCCAUAUACUUUGUACAUUAUUUAUUUUAUAUUUUAUCACUAUUAUUUGGAUAUUUAUACCCUUGUUUUGAUGGUGGCUGAUGACAAAUUUAUUGAUCAUGGUAAUGGAUUUUUUAGGGUUGAUAAAAUCUUCAAUCUUUUAAACAU
Molecule: long non-coding RNA, 285 nt
Filed under: Lathyrus oleraceus (garden pea)
Lineage: Eukaryota; Viridiplantae; Streptophyta; Magnoliopsida; Fabales; Fabaceae
Description: Pisum sativum (pea) long non-coding RNA (PSAT_LNC020649)
Source: RNAcentral